UGUUUCCUGUCGCUAUGGCUACCCCGCUAACUACAAUGACUUUCAGCAUCAUUAAUUAGCCAUGUGCUUCUGCUCGUUUAGGGAGAAUUGGCGUUUGUUUUCGAGUUAAUGGUCUUAGCUUUUGGUCCAAUGGGACAUUUUGCGGACUAUUGCGUUAACAACGGGACGGUGACUUUGAUAUGGUUAACUUGUUAGCAAACAGUUUACACUCCCAGCGACACGGAGCGACAUGAGCAUUCAUUAGGAAUCGUGUUUCUUGCCACACGGUGAAUGUCAAGAGGACAUGAUGAGCCAUGAAGACUGUAAGCUGUGACUGAAUCUCAGAAGACUGAACACAGAGGAUCCUUCAGGAGUUGACGCGGAGACCUGCGGCGACACCGGGAGCCUGAACACCGCCGUCCACGCUCACCUGACACCGAGGAUGUGUUUCAGAUAACACAAUGUGCAGAUAAAACACACACUAACACGAACCCUCGCUCAUCAUACUUCCUUCUCUUUAACCAACUAAAAUCUUUUCCCAUCA
This is a long non-coding RNA of Sebastes umbrosus (honeycomb rockfish), 523 nucleotides long. RefSeq lists it as uncharacterized. The transcript is spliced from 3 exons. The record is from RefSeq and is a predicted model, not a curated record. Lineage: Eukaryota; Metazoa; Chordata; Actinopteri; Perciformes; Sebastidae.